RNAcentral lists this ribosomal RNA (247 nucleotides) under uncultured Eubacteriales bacterium. RNAcentral's name for it is "uncultured Clostridiales bacterium partial 16S ribosomal RNA". It matches the Rfam family "Bacterial small subunit ribosomal RNA", at positions 796 to 1041 of the family's 1533-position model. Lineage: Bacteria; Bacillati; Bacillota; Clostridia; Eubacteriales. The record is from RNAcentral.
CACGCCGUAAACGAUGAGUGCUAGGUGUCGGGGGUUCACACCCUCGGUGCCGGAGUUAACGCAUUAAGCACUCCGCCUGGGGAGUACGGUCGCAAGACUGAAACUCAAAGGAAUUGACGGGGACCCGCACAAGCAGCGGAGCAUGUGGUUUAAUUCGAAGCAACGCGAAGAACCUUACCAGGACUUGACAUCCCUGUGACCGGUCCGUAAUGGGACCUUUCCCUUCGGGGACAAAGGAGACAGGUGG